AUACGGAGGGUGCAAGCGUUAUCCGGAUUUAUUGGGUUUAAAGGGUGCGUAGGCGGUUUGAUAAGUCAGCGGUGAAAUAUUUCAGCUUAACUGGAAGGGUGCCGUUGAUACUGUCGAGCUUGAAUUUAGUUGCUGUGGGUGGAAUGUGUGGUGUAGCGGUGAAAUGCAUAGAUAUCACACAGAAUAUCGAUUGCGAAGGCAGCUCACAAAGCUAAUAUUGACGCUGAUGCACGAAAGUGUGGGGAUCAAACAGGAUUAGAUACCCUGGUAGUCCACACUGUAAACGAUGAUAACUCGCUGUCGGCGAUACAUAGUCGGUGGCCAAGCGAAAGCGAUAAGUUAUCCACCUGGGGAGUACGAUCGCAAGUGUGAAACUUAAAGGAAUUGACGGGG
RNAcentral lists this ribosomal RNA (393 nucleotides) under uncultured bacterium. RNAcentral's name for it is "partial 16S ribosomal RNA". It matches the Rfam family "Bacterial small subunit ribosomal RNA", at positions 523 to 918 of the family's 1533-position model. The record is from RNAcentral.